CGCGAAUGGUCAUUACAACAGCUAAAAUCUACUUGAUCUUGACACAAUCCUACUUGGAUAACUGUGGUAAUUCUAGAGCUAAUACAUGCAUUAAAGCUCUGACCGUAAGGAAAGAGUGCAUUUAUUAGAACAAAACCAAGCGGCCUCCGGGCUGUUUUCGGUUGACUCAUAGUAACUGAGCUGAUCGCAUGGGCUUGUCCCGGCGACGUGUCUUUCAAGUAUCUGCCGUAUCAACUUUCGAUGGUAGUGUAAUUGACUACCAUGGUGAUCACGCGUAACGGAGAAUAAGGGUUCGACUCCGGAGAGUUCGCCUGAGAAAUCGCGAACACAUCUAAGGAAGGCAGCAGGCGCGAAAAUUACCCACUCUCAGCACGAGGAGGUAGUGACGAAAAAUAACGAGACUGUUCUCUUAUGAGGCCAGUCAUCGGAAUGGGUACAAUUUAAACCCUUUAGCGAGUAUCUAUGAGAGGGCAAGUCUGGUGCCAGCAGCCGCGGUAAUUCCAGCU
This 506-nucleotide ribosomal RNA is filed under the name Eucephalobus striatus. RNAcentral describes it as "SSU rRNA". It matches the Rfam family "Eukaryotic small subunit ribosomal RNA", at positions 88 to 590 of the family's 1831-position model. Lineage: Eukaryota; Metazoa; Nematoda; Chromadorea; Rhabditida; Cephalobidae. The record is from RNAcentral.